Beta vulgaris subsp. vulgaris (sugar beet) is the source of this 1992-nucleotide RNA transcript. RefSeq lists it as uncharacterized. The record is from RefSeq and is a predicted model, not a curated record. The transcript has 2 exons. NCBI's taxonomy places the organism in Eukaryota, Viridiplantae, Streptophyta, Magnoliopsida, Caryophyllales, Amaranthaceae.
CUUUUUCAUCUAUCUAUUUUUACUGGUGACUUAACUUGCUAUAUAUUUGUCAACUUUUUUAAAAAAACAGCAUGAGAUAGAAUGAAGCAUCGCUAACUCUAACGCUGAUCUCUCUUAGCUUAGAGUGUUUAAGGUGUUUAGUGAGUCCUAUCAAAUGACCUUAAGAUUUUAGCAUGCCUCUCUUGUUAUGCCUCUCUUGUUUCCUCUUUAGGAUUUCAUGACGUGUCAACUUCUUUAUUGGUUAAUACAAUAUAUGAAUGAUGCAUGAAGAACCUGAAGUGUCAUUGUAGGAUAUAGAUAUUACGGUUUUCUUUCUCUAAAUUUCGAAAUGUUUUUUUACAACAUAUGUAAUGAGAACUUCCUCUGUCAAGAAUCCAUUUAUCCUUCAUCAACUCUCUUCGUAGAUCAAAAGAGCGUGGUCAUCUUCAACUUCUUCACAGACGGCAUUAGUGACAAUUGCAUCGGGACACUUUCAACAUCUCCAUGUCCUCCUUUGCCUUUAUGGAUAUUUAAUAUGCCCAACCUUUGUAGUAUUGACAUAACUACUAACAAAAGCUCUUAACGCCUCCUUUCUUCUUGUUGUUGGGUAACUUCGCCACAAAAAGCUCUGUUAGAUGAGCUACCUUUUGAUUCUUACAUCAUCAAUCUCUUGGCUCCGAAAGAAAGACAACCGCAGUAUCUAGAGCAAAAUUGGUAUCCUGUUAACAAAGAAGUAAUAUAAUCUAAUUACAGAAAACUAUUAUCAAGUAGGAUUUCUAAAUAUUCUUGAAUAUUUGAAUACUAAGACAGAGAAAAUCUCUCGAAACUUCAGCUGUCCAGUUGCCCGCCCAAGCACAAGUUCAAGAAGCCACAAGUUGCCGCCUUCCCAAGCAAUUUGGUCCCAUCCACCCAGACACUCUCUUUGGAGCCCAUUUUGCCUCCAAGUCCGUAGCUUCCAACCUCUUCUUAGUCACUAACAUAUUGGUCUUACAAAUUUUUUUCAUAAAAUAUCAAAACUAAUGAGAAUUCCCAGAGUGUAUAUGUAGGAAGGACAUUCCUUGCACAAACAAACCUAAUAAAACUCUUAGAGGCACCUGGUUACAUUUAACUUCAGAGGGCUAAGAUUAAAAGCUAGCAAUUAAUUGAUCAUUGAGAAAAGGAGAGAGCUUGUAUAUAACAAUAGGAUCUGCUGCCCGACGGGCUGAUAGAACGACCACCUACAUUAUUGUGAGUACAAAGGUAUCCGUUUAGCAGGACUUAAAAAUUUAAAAUUGAUAUCGAUAUAUUAUUUGGAAUUCUAAGCUCUUAUUUUGUGAAGAAAAUAAGAUGUACAUUAUAAGCUUUAUAACUAAUCAUGAUGGUUAAUACAGUUAGCCACUGUCUAAUAACAGAGGUUGUGUGGUGUGAUUGUAUAAUGUAUGUCGCAGACAGUCAUUUCGUGGAAUGGCAAGUUCAAAAUCCGCUGUAGAACAGCCUUUAGUAAUGGAGCUAUUUGAAUGAAUACUACGGUCAGGUGAAAAACUGUGCAGACUUGGUGAAUGUUUAGCUGUAGGUGCAUCAGUACAUGGUUGUAUCAUGCACUGCUGCGAGCGCGGUCGUGCAGAAGCCAGUGAAAUAGCAGCAGGGAAGCAAAGAAGUUCACUCGGACUUUCUUUGGCCUGGUUUGCUUGUGCACGUUUGUGUCCUCGUGAUGUUGGUUCAAUAAUGGAACUUUGGCAAUUCUAUUUAGGACAAGAGCAAAAUUUUCUUAAUCACAGAUGUCUAUGUAAUUAGGGAAAAAUUGGAUACAAUUAGAAAAUUACUUUUUGUAGCGCUUCAUAUGAGUUUAUACUAUGUUAGCGCUUCAUAUGUGUUGUGUCCGACACAACACUACAACACACUUAAAUAACUUUAUUGUAAACCAACAUCUUAGACAUCUUUCUAUGAAAUGCCCAAGUCCGACUCUCGGACACGUAUGCAAGUAGACACUUGUAGCCAAGUAUGAGCGACAUAGAGUUUAUAUGUUAAGGUCCA